UACAGAGGGGGCAAGCGUUGUUCGGAAUUACUGGGCGUAAAGGGUGCGUAGGCGGGUUUUUAAGUCAGGGGUGAAAUCCUGGAGCUCAACUCCAGAACUGCCUUUGAUACUGAAGAUCUUGAGUUCGGGAGAGGUGAGUGGAACUGCGAGUGUAGAGGUGAAAUUCGUAGAUAUUCGCAAGAACACCAGUGGCGAAGGCGGCUCACUGGCCCGAUACUGACGCUGAGGCGCGAAAGCGUGGGGAGCAAACAGG
This 253-nucleotide ribosomal RNA is filed under the name uncultured bacterium. Its description in RNAcentral is "partial 16S ribosomal RNA". It matches the Rfam family "Bacterial small subunit ribosomal RNA", at positions 524 to 776 of the family's 1533-position model. The record is from RNAcentral.